AAAUCUUUAUCUGACAGUGAAUCUGAUGACAGCAAAUCAAAGAAGAAAAGAGAUGCUGCUGACAAACCAAGAGGAUUUGCCAGAGGUCUUGAUCCUGAAAGAAUAAUUGGUGCCACAGACAGCAGUGGAGAAUUGAUGUUUCUCAUGAAAUGGUGAAUUCAGAUGAGGCAGACUUGGUGCUGGCGAAAGAGGCAAAUAUGAAGUGUCCUCAAAUUGUAAUUGCUUUUUAUGAAGAGAGACUAACUUGGCAUUCUUGUCCAGAAGAUGAAGCUCAAUAAUUGUUCACAUUGUUCUUUUAUAUAUAUUUAUAUAUAUAUAUAAAAAUUGGGUCUUAGAUUUUGAUUUACUAGUGUGACAAAAUAACUACAUCCUAAUGAAAAUCAAGUUUGAUAUGUUUGUUUUGAAAGUAGCGUUGGAAGAGUUGUUGGGGGUUUUUUGCAUCCAUAGCACUGGUUACUUUGAACAAAUAAAUAAAAGCUUUCUGUAGUUGCUUCCUUUAUCAGAAAAGAACAUUUGAUACCAUGGUAUAUCAUUUCCUCUUCAUUAAAGAACAGCUUUUCUAAAUGUUGGGGGAAAUGUCCAUAGUCAUUACUCAGUCAAAACUUGUGUUCUCAUGAGCCUAAGGACCAUUCUAGAUUUAUUACGUGUUUUUUGUGUGUGUGUGUGUGUGUGUGUGUGUGUGUAUCCAUAAAAUGCAUAUGUAAAUUUUUUUUUGUUUUUAAGCAUUCACCCAAACAAAAAAAUCACAGGUAAACCCAUGUUUCUGAGAUGCCAUUAUUCCAAGCAAAAUAAGAGAUAAUCCCUUCAAGUUAAAUUGAAAAUUUUCCUGAAACCAUACAUUUCAAGUGAAAUAAGUAAUUCUAGAUAGGACAAUUUAAAUUGGAUAAUUUUAAAGUGUCUAUAAUUGCAGUGGUUUAUUUGCAAAAUUCC
Molecule: long non-coding RNA, 930 nt
Filed under: Homo sapiens (human)
Lineage: Eukaryota; Metazoa; Chordata; Mammalia; Primates; Hominidae
Description: HSALNT0120213
Source: RNAcentral